Molecule: ribosomal RNA, 274 nt
Filed under: uncultured bacterium
Lineage: Bacteria
Description: partial 16S ribosomal RNA
Rfam family: Bacterial small subunit ribosomal RNA
Source: RNAcentral
AUACGUAGGUCCCGAACGUUGCGCGAAAUUACUGGGCGUAAAGGGUCCGUAGGCGGUCUGGUAAGUGGAAGGUGAAAGCCUGGGGCUCAACUCCAGAAUUGCCUUCCAAACUGCCGGACUUGAGGCAGGGAGAGGUCGGCGGAAUUCCCGGUGUAGCGGUGAAAUGCGUAGAUACCGGGAGGAACACCAGUGGCGAAGGCGGCCGACUGGAACUGUCCUGACGCUGAGGGACGAAAGCCAGGGGAGCGAACCGGAUUAGAAACCCUAGUAGUCC